GACGAACGCUGGCGGCGUGCUUAACACAUGCAAGUCGAACGGUGAAGCCCUUCGGGGUGGAUCAGUGGCGAACGGGUGAGUAACACGUGAGCAACCUGCCCCUGACUCUGGGAUAACUACCGGAAACGGUGGCUAAUACCGGAUACGACCUUCCUGCGCAUGUGGGUUGGUGGAAAGUUUUUCGGUCGGGGAUGGGCUCGCGGCCUAUCAGCUUGUUGGUGGGGUGAUGGCCUACCAAGGCGACGACGGGUAGCCGGCCUGAGAGGGCGCCCGGCCACACUGGGAAUGGGACACGGCCCAGACUCCUACGGGAGGCAGCAGUGGGGAAUAUUGCGCAAUGGGCGGAAGCCUGACGCAGCGACGCCGCGUGGGGGAUGAAGGCCUUCGGGUUGUAAACCUCUUUCAGCAGGGAAGAAGCGUGAGUGACGGUACCUGCAGAAGAAGCACCGGCUAACUACGUGCCAGCCGCCGCCGUAA
Molecule: ribosomal RNA, 477 nt
Filed under: uncultured bacterium
Lineage: Bacteria
Description: partial 16S ribosomal RNA
Rfam family: Bacterial small subunit ribosomal RNA
Source: RNAcentral